CCCAAGGAAACAGGUGUAUAUAUUUUACACCUGCUUUGCACGAAAGUGUUGUAUAUAUAUAUUAUUGGAGGGCACCUUUUAUAUUGUACAAGGGGGUUGGAGUGUUCAACCAUUUUUGCAUUUAUAAAUCUAUCCGAUGUACAAUGUAGCACUGAAAAAAAAAUCAUGCAAGUGAAAACGAAAUAUAAAUUUAGAAGAACAAAGUAUAGCAUUCAAAAGAUGUUGCUCAAAUUUUAAAGUCAGUAACGAUUAUGUCCAAGAAGGGUGUACUACGGAAUCAAAAAUAAAUUUUAUUAGGUCGUUAGUUUUCUCGUUUGAAUUGUUUUACUA
Molecule: long non-coding RNA, 330 nt
Filed under: Mytilus galloprovincialis (Mediterranean mussel)
Lineage: Eukaryota; Metazoa; Mollusca; Bivalvia; Mytilida; Mytilidae
Source: RNAcentral